Molecule: ribosomal RNA, 206 nt
Filed under: uncultured bacterium
Lineage: Bacteria
Description: partial 16S ribosomal RNA
Rfam family: Bacterial small subunit ribosomal RNA
Source: RNAcentral
CGCGCAGGCGGCCCCUCAGGCACGACGUGAAAGCCCCGGGCUCAACCCGGGAGGGUCGUCGUGAACCGUGGGGCUUGAGGCCGGUAGAGGUGGGUGGAACUCCUGGUGGAGUGGUGAAAUGCGUAGAGAUCAGGAAGAACACCCGUGGCGAAGGCGGCCCACUGGGCCGGUACUGACGCUGAGGCGCGAAGGCGUGGGGAGCGAAG